This is a long non-coding RNA of Tachysurus fulvidraco (yellow catfish), 252 nucleotides long. RefSeq lists it as uncharacterized. The transcript is spliced from 3 exons. Lineage: Eukaryota; Metazoa; Chordata; Actinopteri; Siluriformes; Bagridae. The record is from RefSeq and is a predicted model, not a curated record.
GUAAGAGUGAAAGUCAGCAGCUCCAUUUUGUGUGGAGUGAAAGAUCGGGGUGGUGAAACUAAAAGAUUUCAGGAGUAAAAACACAAAUGAUGGAGGGAAAGAGAUCAGACUCACCAGAACCCAGUGGUGUGUCCAUGAAGAGUGACGUGUCAAUGGAACAACCAAUAUACUUCAGAGCCAGAGACAGUUCUACUGAUGUGAGACCACAAAAAUCAAACAUCAGCACAAAACAGCUGGACUCUAUAUUCAAGG